RNAcentral lists this transfer RNA (69 nucleotides) under Marmota monax (woodchuck). RNAcentral describes it as "tRNA.Ala". It matches the Rfam family "tRNA". From Rfam's summary of the family: Transfer RNA (tRNA) molecules are approximately 80 nucleotides in length. Lineage: Eukaryota; Metazoa; Chordata; Mammalia; Rodentia; Sciuridae. The record is from RNAcentral.
GAUGUAGCUCAGUGGCACAGUGCUAGCCUAGCAUGUUUGAGGCCCUGGGUUUGAUCUCCAGCAUAGGCA